AUGGCUCGGGUGAUCGGUGCCUCCACCGCCUGCGCGCUCGUCCUCGUCCUGUUCGUGGCGUGUGCCGCGUCCGCAGCGCGCACAGAACCGCGCGCCGCGCGGCAGCUGUGGGACGACGGGAGGAAGGUGGGGGGAAGGACGGAGGUGACGGACGUGGAGGGCGAUAGGGAGGAGGGCUGCGAGGGCGGCGGCGGCGUCUGCGGCCGGCUGGAGUUCUCCCACGUGGUGUCGGCGCAGCGCCAGGUGGUCUCCGGAAUCAAGUACUACCUCCGCGUCGCGGCCGCCGAGGAGAACGGCGUCAGCGACGGCCGCGUGUUCGACACCGUGGUGGUCGUCAAGCCCUGGCUCCAGUCCCGCGCGCUGGUCAGGUUCGCGCUGGCCGACUCCAAAUGA
This 393-nucleotide ribosomal RNA is filed under the name Triticum aestivum (bread wheat). Its description in RNAcentral is "partial small subunit ribosomal RNA". Lineage: Eukaryota; Viridiplantae; Streptophyta; Magnoliopsida; Poales; Poaceae. The record is from RNAcentral.